RNAcentral lists this transfer RNA (71 nucleotides) under Ailuropoda melanoleuca (giant panda). It matches the Rfam family "tRNA". Rfam says of the family: Transfer RNA (tRNA) molecules are approximately 80 nucleotides in length. Lineage: Eukaryota; Metazoa; Chordata; Mammalia; Carnivora; Ursidae. The record is from Rfam by way of RNAcentral.
GCCGGGCUGGCUCAGUCGGUGGAGUGUGUGACUCUUGAUCUCAGGUGUGGGUUCGAGCCCCACGUUGGGUG